AUUGAACGCUGGCGGAAUGCUUUACACAUGCAAGUCGAACGGCAGCACGGACUUCGGUCUGGUGGCGAGUGGCGAACGGGUGAGUAAUGUAUCGGAACGUGCCCAGUCGUGGGGGAUAACGUAGUGAAAAUUACGCUAAUACCGCAUACGAUCUAUGGAUGAAAGCGGGGGAUCGCAAGACCUCGCGCGAUUGGAGCGGCCGAUAUCAGAUUAGGUAGUUGGUGGGGUAAAGGCCCACCAAGCCAACGAUCUGUAGCUGGUCUGAGAGGACGACCAGCCACACUGGAACUGAGACACGGUCCAGACUCCUACGGAAGGCAGCAGUGGGGAAUUUUGGACAAUGGGCGAAAGCCUGAUCCAGCCAUUCCGCGUGCAGGAUGAAGGCCCUCGGGUUGUAAACUGCUUUUGUACAGAACGAAAAGGUUUCUACUAAUACUAGGAGCUCAUGACGGUACUGUAAGAAUAAGCAUCUACAAACUACGUGCCAGCCGCCGCCGUAA
Molecule: ribosomal RNA, 500 nt
Filed under: uncultured bacterium
Lineage: Bacteria
Description: partial 16S ribosomal RNA
Rfam family: Bacterial small subunit ribosomal RNA
Source: RNAcentral